AUUGAACGCUGGCGGCAGGCCUAACACAUGCAAGUCGAGCGGAUGAAGGGAGCUUGCUCCUGGAUUCAGCGGCGGACGGGUGGGUAAUGCCUAGGAAUCUGCCUGGUAGUGGGGGAUAACGUCCGGAAACGGGCGCUAAUACCGCAUACGUCCUGAGGGAGAAAGUGGGGGAUCUUCGGACCUCACGCUAUCAGAUGAGCCUAGGUCGGAUUAGCUAGUUGGUGGGGUAAAGGCCUACCAAGGCGACGAUCCGUAACUGGUCUGAGAGGAUGAUCAGUCACACUGGAACUGAGACACGGUCCAGACUCCUACGGGAGGCAGCAGUGGGGAAUAUUGGACAAUGGGCGAAAGCCUGAUCCAGCCAUGCCGCGUGUGUGAAGAAGGUCUUCGGAUUGUAAAGCACUUUAAGUUGGGAGGAAGGGCAGUAAGUUAAUACCUUGCUGUUUAGACGUUACCAACAGAAUAAGCACCGGCUAACUUCGUG
Molecule: ribosomal RNA, 484 nt
Filed under: uncultured bacterium
Lineage: Bacteria
Description: partial 16S ribosomal RNA
Rfam family: Bacterial small subunit ribosomal RNA
Source: RNAcentral